ACAUACAACUCGGUCGUAAGACUGUCUGGUAAUGUUCAGAUACGACUAGGUUGUACGUGU
This 60-nucleotide microRNA precursor is filed under the name Magallana gigas (Pacific oyster). Its description in RNAcentral is "Mgi-Novel-4_pre stem-loop". The record is from RNAcentral. Lineage: Eukaryota; Metazoa; Mollusca; Bivalvia; Ostreida; Ostreidae.